RNAcentral lists this ribosomal RNA (909 nucleotides) under Acidobacteria bacterium enrichment culture clone CTBE CDB1001H04. Its description in RNAcentral is "bacterial SSU rRNA". It matches the Rfam family "Bacterial small subunit ribosomal RNA", at positions 44 to 930 of the family's 1533-position model. The record is from RNAcentral. Lineage: Bacteria; Pseudomonadati; Acidobacteriota.
GAUGCAUAAUACUGCAAGUCGAACGCGAGAGGGGCUUCGGCCCCAAUUGAGUGGCAACGGGUGAGUAACACGUGGGUGAUCUACCUUCGAGUGGGGGAUAACGUUUCGAAAGGAACGCUAAUACCGCAUAACAUCCUGUCUUUAGACAGAUGGAGAUCAAAGCCGGGGACCGCAAGGCCUGGUGCUUGAAGAGGAGCCCGCGCCCGAUUAGCUAGUUGGUGGGGUAACGGCCUACCAAGGCGACGAUCGGUAGCCGGCCUGAGAGGGCGGACGGCCACACUGGGACUGAGACACGGCCCAGACUCCUACGGGAGGCAGCAGUAGGGAAUUGUUCGCAAUGGGCGCAAGCCUGACGACGCAACGCCGCGUGAAGGAUGAAGGUCUUCGGAUUGUAAACUUCUGUCGUGUGGGACGAACAUCUCUUGAGCAAAUACCUCGAGAGACUGACGGUACCACGAAAGGAAGCCCCGGCUAACUCUGUGCCAGCAGCCGCGGUAAUACAGAGGGGGCAAGCGUUGUUCGGAAUUACUGGGCGUAAAGGGCGCGUAGGCGGCUUGUUAAGUCAGACGUGAAAUCCCUCGGCUCAACCGGGGAACCGCGUCUGAUACUGGCGAGCUUGAAUUCGGGAGAGGGAUGUGGAAUUCCAGGUGUAGCGGGUGAAUGCGUAGAUAUCUGGAAGAACACCGGUGGCGAAAGCGGCAUCCUGGACCGAUAUUGACGCUGAGGCGCGAAGCCCAGGGGAGCAACGGGGAUAAAUACCCCGGGAGUCCUGGGCCUUAACCAUGAAUGCUUGGUGGGGGCGGGAAUCGAUUCCCUGCCGUGGCAAAACCUAAGCCAUUAGCCUUUCCCCCCGGGGAAAACGGGUCCCAGGGGUGAAACUCCAAGGGAUUGACGGGGGGCCCCCCAAAC